CCCCUAGUAACUGCGAGUGAAGCGGGAAAAGCUCAAAUUUAAAAUCUGGCGGUCUUUGGCCGUCCGAGUUGUAGUCUGGAGAAGUGCUUUCCGCGCUGGGCCGUGUAUAAGUCUCUUGGAACAGAGCGUCAUAGAGGGUGAGAAUCCCGUCUUUGACACGGACUACCAGUGCUUUGUGAUGCGCUCUCAAAGAGUCGAGUUGUUUGGGAAUGCAGCUCAAAAUGGGUGGUGAAUUCCAUCUAAAGCUAAAUAUUGGCGAGAGACCGAUAGCGAACAAGUACCGUGAGGGAAAGAUGAAAAGCACUUUGGAAAGAGAGUUAAACAGUACGUGAAAUUGCUGAAAGGGAAACGCUUGAAGUCAGUCGCGUUGUCUGGGACUCAGCCUUGCUUUUGCUUGGUGCACUUUCCGGAUGACGGGCCAGCAUCGAUUUUGACCGUCGGAAAAGGGCUAGGGUAAUGUGGCACCUCCGGGUGUGUUAUAGACUCUAGUCGCAUACGGCGGUUGGGAUCGAGGAACGCAGCGCGCCGUAAGGCAGGGGUUCGCCCACUUUCGCGCUUAGGAUGCUGGCGUAAUGGCUUUAAACGACCCGUCUUGAAACACGGACCAAGGAGUCUAACAUACCUGCGAGUGUUUGGGUGGAAAACCCGAGCGCGUAAUGAAAGUGAAAGUUGAGACCUCUGUCGUGGAGGGCAUCGACGCCCGGACCUGACGUUCUCUGACGGAUCCGCGGUAGAGCAUGUAUGUUGGGACCCGAAAGAUGGUGAACUAUGCCUGAAUAGGGUGAAGCCAGAGGAAACUCUGGUGGAGGCUCGUAGCGAUUCUGACGUGCAAAUCGAUCGUCAAAUUUGGGUAUAGGGGCGAAAGACUAAUCGAA
RNAcentral lists this ribosomal RNA (875 nucleotides) under Sanguinoderma elmerianum. Its description in RNAcentral is "partial 28S ribosomal RNA". It matches the Rfam family "Eukaryotic large subunit ribosomal RNA", at positions 77 to 939 of the family's 3401-position model. The record is from RNAcentral. Lineage: Eukaryota; Fungi; Basidiomycota; Agaricomycetes; Polyporales; Polyporaceae.